RNAcentral lists this ribosomal RNA (253 nucleotides) under uncultured bacterium. Its description in RNAcentral is "partial 16S ribosomal RNA". It matches the Rfam family "Bacterial small subunit ribosomal RNA", at positions 524 to 776 of the family's 1533-position model. The record is from RNAcentral.
UACGAAGGGGGCUAGCGUUGUUCGGAAUCACUGGGCGUAAAGGGCGCGUAGGCGGCUUUGUAAGUCGGGGGUGAAAGCCUGUGGCUCAACCACAGAAUUGCCUUCGAUACUGCAUGGCUUGAGACCGGAAGAGGUUAGUGGAACUGCGAGUGUAGAGGUGAAAUUCGUAGAUAUUCGCAAGAACACCAGUGGCGAAGGCGGCUGACUGGUCCGGUUCUGACACUGAGACGCGAAAGCGUGGGUAGCAAACAGG